This 253-nucleotide ribosomal RNA is filed under the name uncultured bacterium. Its description in RNAcentral is "partial 16S ribosomal RNA". It matches the Rfam family "Bacterial small subunit ribosomal RNA", at positions 524 to 776 of the family's 1533-position model. The record is from RNAcentral.
UACGUAGGGUGCGAGCGUUGUCCGGAAUUACUGGGCGUAAAGAGCUCGUAGGUGGUUUGUCGCGUUGUUCGUGAAAUCUCACGGCUUAACUGUGAGCGUGCGGGCGAUACGGGCAGACUGGAGUACUGCAGGGGAGACUGGAAUUCCUGGUGUAGCGGUGGAAUGCGCAGAUAUCAGGAGGAACACCGGUGGCGAAGGCGGGUCUCUGGGCAGUAACUGACGCUGAGGCGCGAAGGCGUGGGGAGCGAACGGG